Molecule: ribosomal RNA, 1115 nt
Filed under: uncultured Acinetobacter sp.
Lineage: Bacteria; Pseudomonadati; Pseudomonadota; Gammaproteobacteria; Moraxellales; Moraxellaceae
Description: bacterial SSU rRNA
Rfam family: Bacterial small subunit ribosomal RNA
Source: RNAcentral
CACAUGCAAGUCGAGCGGAGAGAGGUAGCUUGCUACUGAUCUUAGCGGCGGACGGGUGAGUAAUGCUUAGGAAUCUGCCUAUUAGUGGGGGACAACAUCUCGAAAGGGAUGCUAAUACCGCAUACGUCCUACGGGAGAAAGCAGGGGAUCUUCGGACCUUGCGCUAAUAGAUGAGCCUAAGUCGGAUUAGCUAGUUGGUGGGGUAAAGGCCUACCAAGGCGACGAUCUGUAGCGGGUCUGAGAGGAUGAUCCGCCACACUGGGACUGAGACACGGCCCAGACUCCUACGGGAGGCAGCAGUGGGGAAUAUUGGACAAUGGGGGGAACCCUGAUCCAGCCAUGCCGCGUGUGUGAAGAAGGCCUUAUGGUUGUAAAGCACUUUAAGCGAGGAGGAGGCUACUUUAGUUAAUACCUAGAGAUAGUGGACGUUACUCGCAGAAUAAGCACCGGCUAACUCUGUGCCAGCAGCCGCGGUAAUACAGAGGGUGCAAGCGUUAAUCGGAUUUACUGGGCGUAAAGCGCGCGUAGGCGGCUAAUUAAGUCAAAUGUGAAAUCCCCGAGCUUAACUUGGGAAUUGCAUUCGAUACUGGUUAGCUAGAGUGUGGGAGAGGAUGGUAGAAUUCCAGGUGUAGCGGUGAAAUGCGUAGAGAUCUGGAGGAAUACCGAUGGCGAAGGCAGCCAUCUGGCCUAACACUGACGCUGAGGUGCGAAAGCAUGGGGAGCAAACAGGAUUAGAUACCCUGGUAGUCCAUGCCGUAAACGAUGUCUACUAGCCGUUGGGGCCUUUGAGGCUUUAGUGGCGCAGCUAACGCGAUAAGUAGACCGCCUGGGGAGUACGGUCGCAAGACUAAAACUCAAAUGAAUUGACGGGGGCCCGCACAAGCGGUGGAGCAUGUGGUUUAAUUCGAUGCAACGCGAAGAACCUUACCUGGCCUUGACAUAGUAAGAACUUUCCAGAGAUGGAUUGGUGCCUUCGGGAACUUACAUACAGGUGCUGCAUGGCUGUCGUCAGCUCGUGUCGUGAGAUGUUGGGUUAAGUCCCGCAACGAGCGCAACCCUUUUCCUUAUUUGCCAGCGAGUAAUGUCGGGAACUUUAAGGAUACUGCCAGUGACAA